RNAcentral lists this ribosomal RNA (863 nucleotides) under uncultured organism. Its description in RNAcentral is "bacterial SSU rRNA". It matches the Rfam family "Bacterial small subunit ribosomal RNA", at positions 1 to 863 of the family's 1533-position model. The record is from RNAcentral.
GGCUUAGAGUUUGAUCAUGGCUCAGGAUGAACGCUAGCGACAGGCUUAACACAUGCAAGUCGAGGGGCAGCGGGGGUAGCAAUACCCGCCGGCGACCGGCGCACGGGUGAGUAACGCGUAUGCAACUUACCUAUCAGAGGGGGAUAACCCGGCGAGAGUCGGACUAAUACCGCAUGAAGCAGGGGCCCCGCAUGGGGAUAUUUGCUAAAGAUUCAUCGCUGAUAGAUAGGCAUGCGUUCCAUUAGGCAGUUGGCGGGGUAACGGCCCACCAAACCGACGAUGGAUAGGGGUUCUGAGAGGAAGGUCCCCCACAUUGGUACUGAGACACGGACCAAACUCCUACGGGAGGCAGCAGUGAGGAAUAUUGGUCAAUGGGCGUAAGCCUGAACCAGCCAAGUCGCGUGAGGGAUGAAGGUUCUAUGGAUCGUAAACCUCUUUUAUAAGGGAAUAAAGUGUGGGACGUGUCCUAUUUUGUAUGUACCUUAUGAAUAAGGAUCGGCUAACUCCGUGCCAGCAGCCGCGGUAAUACGGAGGAUCCGAGCGUUAUCCGGAUUUAUUGGGUUUAAAGGGUGCGUAGGCGGCCUUUUAAGUCAGCGGUGAAAGUCUGUGGCUCAACCAUAGAAUUGCCGUUGAAACUGGGAGGCUUGAGUAUGUUUGAGGCAGGCGGAAUGCGUGGUGUAGCGGUGAAAUGCUUAGAUAUCACGCAGAACCCCGAUUGCGAAGGCAGCCUGCCAAGCCAUGACUGACGCUGAUGCACGAAAGCGUGGGGAUCAAACAGGAUUAGAUACCCUGGUAGUCCACGCAGUAAACGAUGAUCACUAGCUGUUUGCGAUACAGUGUAAGCGGCACAGCGAAAGCGUUAA